Molecule: long non-coding RNA, 1861 nt
Organism: Trachemys scripta elegans
Lineage: Eukaryota; Metazoa; Chordata; Testudines; Emydidae
Exons: 3
Source: RefSeq, a predicted model, not a curated record
AGAUGCUUCCGCCUCAGUCUGCGUGGGGCAGAAGUCAGAGUUCAGCAGGGAGGUAGGUACUUCCUGAGAAACGCUGCAGUCGCGAGCUUUCUGCACCGUAACUCUUGUAUGGAAUAUACAAAUGGGAUAACUAUUAUUGUUUGCCAGUAGAUGUCAGUCUUUUUAUAUUAGUACGGAGAUUGAGUUGAUUUGCAGUUUAAAAUUCAGAUUUCAGAAAGAUGAGACAAAGUGGAUCAGGCAGAAGAGUCUGGAGCAACUGUCACCACUGCUGUUCCUGAAGAGAGACUAUCACUGUGCAAUGUUGAGCCUUCACUCACCUGAAAUUUAUAAUACUGCUUCAGUCUGAUUGAAGAGUCUGGAAAAUAGCUUUUGCUGAUGAUUAUACUUAAAAAUCUAAACUGCUUUCCUCUCUGAUUUUCCAGGAAGCACAUGACCUAUCAGUGUUGUACUGAGAGGAACAUGGUUUCUGGCACGUUUGAGGCAUGAAACAAUUUAAAAUAACAACAUCUCCACCUACUGGCCAACCAAUAAAGCACAAUUGUACUAAUUUCUGGCCUGAUUUAAUUUCAAACUAGUUCUUAGAAAAAGAUGAUAUAAAUUCCUAGUGCAUAUCUAAAAUACAUGCCCUUUUGUAAAUCUGGAUUAUCAAAACUACAUAAAGACAGUAACAUCUGCCCCUUUAAGAUAAAAAGUCCUUAUUUGAGUAGGUUAGCUGGUAUUUGAGCACAAUCUAAAGAAAUAAAUGGAAAAAUGGGAACAACAUUUUUUCCCAUCAAUACAAUAACACAUGCUUAAUAACAAAGAAAUACAACAGCUAGUACUAAUAUAGUAGUUUUCUUUCAUGAUACCUACCUUAUUAAAGUUUAAGGUCCAUCAGCCCCAUUUUUUCACAUAGGGAAAAUAUGGUGCACAGAGCAGUUAACAGCUAGGUCCAGAAAGGUGACUUAGACUCAGCAGUGCAAUCCCUAAAACGUAGGCAUCCUGGGGUGUAGUGGAAUCUACAGACCCAAGUUACGUACCAAAGAACAGGAUUCACACAAGCCAGCAUGCUGAGCAGGAAGCUGCCUAAAGUAGGCACAAAAAAUGUCAGAAAGGGGUGUGGUCUAAGUUUUGGCCCUUAAAGGGAAUUGGGCACCUAAUUGUGGACUGCAGGGAGGUACUUCCCUCCACUCUGCAUUCACAGCCCUGAAUCCAUCCCUGGAGUUAGGCCAGAUCCGGCUUAGGUGCCUUUCUCACCAAAAAAAAUGAGGAAAUUCAUCCCUUCUAUGUUCUACAGCCCAGUGGUUAGAGCACUCACUGGGUAUGUGGGAGACUUUGGUACAAAUCCCCACACACUGAUUUGAAACAGGGUUUCCUGGCUCUAAGGUGAGUGCCCUAACCACCAGAGUAUAGGGUACUCUGAGACAGAUCUCUCUCAAUCUCCCCCGUAGAAGCUGUUUCACUUUGUAUAAAAUACUUAAUAUUCAUUGGAGCAGGGCCUGGAACCUAGGUUUUCCAGAUGGGCACCCUAACCACCGGGCUACAGAAUCAUUCUUUCUGGUCCACCGUAUAGUAUCCAGUAAACCAGGUUGUCUACCUUAGAAAGGAUAAUAUGUCCUGUAGUAAGAGGAGGCCCUGAGAUAUAAACCUUGGUAUCAGAGGCCUGGUAUGAGGCCUAAGGCCUGAACUAAAGUAAUGGUCAAGACUUUGCUAACAUAAAGCAAAGUUAAGCUGUGAGCCAGAGGCAGGCCCUGCUCACAGAAGCUGGCAAGGAAAGGGCUGAUGCUGCAAAAAGAUACAUACCUAAAAAGUACUGAACACUAAAUAUCAGAAAACUCCAAUACUUGUACAUUCCACACAUAAGAAGGAACAGGCUGACCCA